CUGAGGAAGCCCUGAGAACAAUGCUAACCGAGUCAUUCUUCAUGCACGCUUCCCAGCAGAACAAGUCAGACCUUGUGUGGAGGAAGAAAGAAAUAGCUGGUUCCAGCCAGAGCUGGGAAAGGAACACCCUAUCAGGCAGAAACCAAGGAAGUUCUCAAAGAAAGAGGCUUCAGCCAGCCUGACAGGGGGAAAUUAGAUCAUCAAAAUCAUGAUGCAGGAUUACAAACCACUGAAUAAACUAAGAAUUCAUGAGUCUA
Long non-coding RNA from Suricata suricatta (meerkat), 257 nucleotides. RefSeq lists it as uncharacterized. The transcript is spliced from 2 exons. NCBI's taxonomy places the organism in Eukaryota, Metazoa, Chordata, Mammalia, Carnivora, Herpestidae. The record is from RefSeq and is a predicted model, not a curated record.